Long non-coding RNA from Cydia strobilella, 445 nucleotides. RefSeq lists it as uncharacterized. The record is from RefSeq and is a predicted model, not a curated record. The transcript has 2 exons. NCBI's taxonomy places the organism in Eukaryota, Metazoa, Arthropoda, Insecta, Lepidoptera, Tortricidae.
ACGUAACGCAAAUGCAGAUUAAUCUGCACAGAUUAAUUAAUUCGCGGUGUAAAAAUUAAUGGCGUGCUUAAAUUUUCAUCUCGUAUUCCCAAUUAUUCAUCAUAACCGAGUAAAAUGUCAAACAUAUUGGCCUACUUGACUUGUGCUUGUUUUUUUUUGGCAUGUAACGUAUUGUCAUUGAGUAAUUACACUAUGAGAUAUCCCGAACUCUUCAGACAUUACGUUAAUACUAAAUUAUCCGAACGAGGGAGAGAAGUGUUCAUGGACUUUUCAACUACUAUAUCAUGCAAACAAAAGGGCGGCUAUUGUGUUUCCAGAGCGAAUUGUUUAUCAAAGAAAAAAAUUUACUUCAGCGGAGCCUGCAACACCGGUGAUAAAGUAUGUUGCUACGAGGACGAAGGAUGGAAAUGAAAAUUAUAAAUGUAUAUUUGCGUUGCUCUGACAA